AUGUCGUCCAGCCCGUCCCCCACCACUGUCAUGGAGGUUGUGUUUACAUCGUCCGUGGGUCUCGCGUCCUUGGCUUUGUCCCGCAAGCCAGAGAACAUCGCCCAGAGGGACCGGCGAUGGAGGCAGCGGGAGAGGGAAGCGGACCUCGAGGGGGCGUCUAUGACUCGCCGCCGCUCGUUUGGUCGCGUACAGGCCCGACACCGGUGGCGCAUCGGCUGCCCACGCCCUGUUCGACGGAAUGACAUAGCAGGACUCGGAAUUGAUCACGUCGACAUGAUCAAUGGUAAUCAUGAUCCGACCCAAAUGCAGUAUGAGUUGGGGGAUCCAGCUUGUCCUAUGUUUGAAGUCGGCGGCACAUCAAACCCCAAUCCGAACAAGAAAAAGGGAAAGAUGCCCAAGGCAAGAGGUCCGGCAUUCACAACUUUUGAGGACAUCUUGUUGGUUAAAUCUUGGUUGGCCACAACAUUGGACCUCAUACAUAGCACGGAGCAAAAAGGCAAUCGGUAUUGGGAGAAGAUCCACAAGCACUAUCAUGAACACAAGCAUUAUGUGGAGCCGCAUCCUAUCGCUACCAACCGCAAUGUGGCAUCUCUCCAACAUCCAUCGGGGAUAAUUAAAGGGGAAGUGAACAAAUACGUCGGCUACUAUGCACAAGUGCUUGGCCGCCCUCAAAGUGGGAUGGAUGAUGGUGGCGGCCAUUAUGUAUCAAGAGACGGAGAAGAAGAUAUUCGGUUUUAG
RNAcentral lists this ribosomal RNA (738 nucleotides) under Triticum aestivum (bread wheat). RNAcentral's name for it is "partial small subunit ribosomal RNA". Lineage: Eukaryota; Viridiplantae; Streptophyta; Magnoliopsida; Poales; Poaceae. The record is from RNAcentral.